GAUAACCAUUGGAAACGAUGGCUAAUACCGCAUAAUGCCUACGGGCCAAAGAGGGGGACCUUCGGGCCUCUCGCGUCAAGAUAUGCCUAGGUGGGAUUAGCUAGUUGGUGAGGUAAGGGCUCACCAAGGCGACGAUCCCUAGCUGGUCUGAGAGGAUGAUCACCCACACUGGAACUGAAACACGGUCCAAACUCCUACGGGAGGCAGCAGUGGGGAAUAUUGCACAAUGGGCGCAAGCCUGAUGCAGCCAUGCCGCGUGUAUGAAGAAGGCCUUCGGGUUGUAAAGUACUUUCAGCAUUGAGGAAGGGAUGUACGUUAAUAGCGUGCCUCUUUGACGUUAGCUGCAGAAGAAGCACCGGCUAACUCCGUGCCAGC
RNAcentral lists this ribosomal RNA (375 nucleotides) under uncultured Vibrio sp. Its description in RNAcentral is "bacterial SSU rRNA". It matches the Rfam family "Bacterial small subunit ribosomal RNA", at positions 142 to 512 of the family's 1533-position model. The record is from RNAcentral. Lineage: Bacteria; Pseudomonadati; Pseudomonadota; Gammaproteobacteria; Vibrionales; Vibrionaceae.